Molecule: ribosomal RNA, 923 nt
Filed under: Enterococcus sp.
Lineage: Bacteria; Bacillati; Bacillota; Bacilli; Lactobacillales; Enterococcaceae
Description: bacterial SSU rRNA
Rfam family: Bacterial small subunit ribosomal RNA
Source: RNAcentral
GAGCGCAGGCGGUUUCUUAAGUCAGAUGUGAAAGCCCCCGGCUCAACCGGGGAGGGUCAUUGGAAACUGGGAAGCUUGAGUGCAGAGUAGGAAAGUGGAAUUCCAUGUGUAGCGGUGAAAUGCGUAAAUAUAUGGAGGAACACCAGUGGCGAAGGCGGCUCUCUGGUCUGUAACUGACGCUGAGGCUCGAAAGCGUGGGGAGCAAACAGGAUUAAAUACCCUGGUAGUCCACGCCGUAAACGAUGAGUGCUAAGUGUUGGAGGGUUUCCGCCCUUCAUUGCUGCAGCUAACGCAUUAAGCACUCCGCCGGGGGAGUACGACCGCAGGGUUGAAACUCAAAGGAAUUGACGGGGGCCCGCACAAGCGGGGGAGCAUGUGGUUUAUUUCAAAGCAACGCAAAAAACCUUACCAGGUCUUGACAUCCUUUGACCACUCUAAAAAUAGAGCUUCCCCUUCGGGGGCAAAGUGACAGGUGGUGCAUGGUUGUCGUCAGCUCGUGUCGUGAGAUGUUGGGUUAAGUCCCGCAACGAGCGCAACCCUUAUUGUUAUUUGCCAUCAUUUAGUUGGGCACUCUAGCGAGACUGCCGGUGACAAACCGGAGGAAGGUGGGGAUGACGUCAAAUCAUCAUGCCCCUUAUGACCUGGGCUACACACGUGCUACAAUGGGAAGUACAACGAGUCGCGAAGUCGCGAGGCUAAGCUAAUCUCUUAAAGCUUCUCUCAGUUCGGAUUGUAGGCUGCAACUCGCCUACAUGAAGCCGGAAUCGCUAGUAAUCGCAGAUCAGCACGCCGCGGUGAAUACGUUCCCGGGCCUUGUACACCCCCCCCUCACACCACGAGAUUUGUAACACCCGAAUCGUGAGGUAACCUUUUGAGCCAGCCGCCUAAUGUGGGAUAGAUGAUUGGGGUGAAGUCUACCAGGU